Sinocyclocheilus grahami is the source of this 110-nucleotide long non-coding RNA. RefSeq lists it as uncharacterized. The record is from RefSeq and is a predicted model, not a curated record. Lineage: Eukaryota; Metazoa; Chordata; Actinopteri; Cypriniformes; Cyprinidae. The transcript is spliced from 2 exons.
AGUGAUUGCGCCGGCGCCGCAUACGCACACAAUUAAACUUUGCUGCCUUGACAAUGCAGCCCGUUCAUUAUCAUCAUAAAAUACAGUCAGUCAAACAUACGGAAAAAACA